AGAGUUUGAUCCUGGCUCAGAAUGAACGCUGGCGGCAUGGAUUAGGCAUGCAAGUCGAACGAGAAAGCGGCUUCGGCCGCGAGUAAAGUGGCGAAAGGGUGAGUAACACGUGAGGAACCUGCCCCCUGGCCCGGAACAAGCCUGUGAAAACGGGUCUGAAACCGGAUGAGGCUCCCUCCCGCAUGGGAGGGCGGCCAAAUAUUCAUAGCCAAGGGAUGGUCUCGCGUCCCAUUAGCUAGUUGGCGGGGUAACGGCCCACCAAGGCUGCGACGGGUAGGUGGUCUGAGAGGAUGGUCACCCACACUGGGACUGAGACACUGCCCAGACUCCUACGGGAGGCUGCAGUCGAGAAUCUUCCGCAAUGGGCGCAAGCCUGACGGAGCGAUGCCGCGUGAGGGACGAAGGCCUUCGGGUCGUAAACCUCUGUGGGGGGGAACGAACGCAAUGACGGUACCCCCUUAGAAAGCCACGGCUAACCACGUGCCAGCAGCCGCGGUAAUACGUGGGUGGCGAGCGUUAUUCGGAUUCACUGGGC
Molecule: ribosomal RNA, 535 nt
Filed under: uncultured bacterium
Lineage: Bacteria
Description: bacterial SSU rRNA
Rfam family: Bacterial small subunit ribosomal RNA
Source: RNAcentral